RNAcentral lists this non-coding RNA (21 nucleotides) under Mus musculus (house mouse). The record is from RNAcentral. Lineage: Eukaryota; Metazoa; Chordata; Mammalia; Rodentia; Muridae.
UGCUCCAGGUGUGAAAUGACU